CCUGCCCCAGCGGUGGGUGUGGUUCCCGGGCAGGGUUGGGUCCAUCCGGGCCCGCCCCCUACUGCAUCAUAGGGUGGGGUUGCUACAGGUGUAGAGGGAGUGCACUCCCUCACCUGUUCAAGAUAUACCUUAUAUAAGCAGCCAGCCUCAUUGGGACAAAUCCAGAUCCCACGGCGACUGUGUUUGGUGGUUAUGACAGAUUUUGGCUGCAGGAAGACGUCAGCACCUCCUUCAAUAGGUGUCUCAACAUCCCUCCCUAACAGGAAGGCUACAGCUUCAACCAUUUUACCAUCCGACCAUCUUACCUCUGUGAGCUUUACAGAUAGCACAGAACCUAUGGCAGCGUCUAACUAAUACUCCCUGAAGAAGACCGCUACUCAUAAAAGGUCAAAACGCGUAGGGGUGUUUUUCGCCCAUAGUAUUUGUAUACUUACAGUACUGUUACGCUAUGUCUGUACUUGUUCUACCUUGUGUUUUUAUUUGCCAUGUAUGACUUAUGUUUUUUACCAAGCUCAUAUCUUGAGUCCCUACUGUUUGGGGCU
Long non-coding RNA from Rana temporaria (common frog), 542 nucleotides. RefSeq lists it as uncharacterized. The record is from RefSeq and is a predicted model, not a curated record. The transcript has 3 exons. Lineage: Eukaryota; Metazoa; Chordata; Amphibia; Anura; Ranidae.